GAUGAACGCUGGCGGCGUGCCUAAUACAUGCAAGUCGAGCGAACGGACGAGAAGCUUGCUUUUCUGAUGUUAGCGGCGGACGGGUGAGUAACACGUGGAUAACCUACCUAUAAGACUGGGAUAACUUCGGGAAACCGGAGCUAAUACCGGAUAAUAUUUUGAACCGCAUGGUUCAAAAGUGAAAGACGGUCUUGCUGUCACUUAUAGAUGGAUCCGCGCUGCAUUAGCUAGUUGGUAAGGUAACGGCUUACCAAGGCAACGAUGCAUAGCCGACCUGAGAUGGUGAUCGGCCACACUGGAACUGAGACACGGUCCAGACUCCUACGGGAGGCAGCAGUAGGGAAUCUUCCGCAAUGGGCGAAAGCCUGACGGAGCAACGCCGCGUGAGUGAUGAAGGUCUUCGGAUCGUAAAACUCUGUUAUUAGGGAAGAACAUAUGUGUAAGUAACUGUGCACAUCUUGACGGUACCUAAUCAGAAAGCCACGGCUAACUACGUG
RNAcentral lists this ribosomal RNA (497 nucleotides) under uncultured bacterium. RNAcentral's name for it is "partial 16S ribosomal RNA". It matches the Rfam family "Bacterial small subunit ribosomal RNA", at positions 28 to 507 of the family's 1533-position model. The record is from RNAcentral.